CUGAUUUUAAUUAUGAUUUUAAUAUUUUAUUUAGACCCGUCGACUGUUCGUACUUCAGAGGCGAACCAGAGUUAGAUUGCUUGUCAGGAUCACGUGGAUUUAGCAAGCAGUUUAUGAUUUGAGCUUUGGUCGAUCUCCGUUUCUUCAUUCUCGGAGGUUCUUUAUUUAUUUCAGAAAUAAAGUGUCGAACUAUUUUAAACUCUUAGACCGCAGUAGUAGUUUCAUAUUAUUCA
Molecule: long non-coding RNA, 233 nt
Organism: Mercurialis annua (annual mercury)
Lineage: Eukaryota; Viridiplantae; Streptophyta; Magnoliopsida; Malpighiales; Euphorbiaceae
Exons: 2
Source: RefSeq, a predicted model, not a curated record